UCUCUCUCUCUAUCUCUCUCGGCUCUGUCUACUCCGGAAUCUUCCACACUGCUUCUGUGGAAAAUGAAUACGGCAUUGUUUUGAUGAAAGCAAGGAUGACUAAAAAGGGAAAAUCUGAUGCGAAUGUAGCAAAUGGGGAGUUGAUAGAUACUCUUGUGAUUCUUUCUAGUGACCUUGUCCAAGUUGUUACAAAGGGAGUUUUACUUCCAGCUGAUGGUGUUGCUGGAAAUAUGUCUGGUGACAGAACUGAAGCUGUUACGGGUAUUGCUUCUUCU
This is a long non-coding RNA of Rosa rugosa (rugosa rose), 275 nucleotides long. RefSeq lists it as uncharacterized. The transcript is spliced from 3 exons. NCBI's taxonomy places the organism in Eukaryota, Viridiplantae, Streptophyta, Magnoliopsida, Rosales, Rosaceae. The record is from RefSeq and is a predicted model, not a curated record.